GUUUACCCUGGAUUGCCAGUUGCUUUCCCGAAAAAAUCUGCAGUUUCACGUUUGUGUGUUAAUUGAACAACGGGAAAUUGAGCAACAUUAGCGACAAGCAUUAUCCAUUUUAUACUCAUUGAAAAUCUACAAAGGGUCGUGACAACUCAAACGAAGAGUGGCACGGCUGUGGAACUACUGACUGCACUAGCGCUGGCUGUAAGAAAAACGCCGAUGGUAGCAACGUUUGCUGUUGCCAAGGAUAUCUCUGUAAUUCCGGAAUGAGUUUCUCAAAAACUGAAUUUUCUUCACUUCUUCUUACAGUUCUUUCGGUGAUUUACAUGUACGUUUAAUGAGAAGAGCAUGUAUUGAUUUUUGCCAGAAAAUGAAAAUAUUUGUCAGCAUUUUGAAACA
RNAcentral lists this small RNA (393 nucleotides) under Caenorhabditis elegans. Its description in RNAcentral is "Unclassified non-coding RNA Y105C5A.17a". Lineage: Eukaryota; Metazoa; Nematoda; Chromadorea; Rhabditida; Rhabditidae. The record is from RNAcentral.